UACAGAGGGUGCAAGCGUUAAUCGGAAUUACUGGCGUAAAGCGUGCGUAGCCGGUUAUUUAAGUCGGAUGUGAAAUCCCCGGGCUCAACCUGGGAAUUGCAUUCGAUACUGGGUAGCUAGAGUUCGGCAGAGGGAAGCGGAAUUUCGGGUGUAGCGGUGAAAUGCGUAGAUAUUGGGAAGAACACCUGAGGCGAAGGCGGGUUGCUGGGCUGAUACUGACGCUGAGGCGCGAAAGCCAGGGGAGCAAACGGG
Molecule: ribosomal RNA, 252 nt
Filed under: uncultured bacterium
Lineage: Bacteria
Description: partial 16S ribosomal RNA
Rfam family: Bacterial small subunit ribosomal RNA
Source: RNAcentral